RNAcentral lists this ribosomal RNA (497 nucleotides) under uncultured bacterium. RNAcentral describes it as "partial 16S ribosomal RNA". It matches the Rfam family "Bacterial small subunit ribosomal RNA", at positions 28 to 507 of the family's 1533-position model. The record is from RNAcentral.
GAUGAACGCUGGCGGCGUGCCUAAUACAUGCAAGUCGAGCGAACAGAUGAGGAGCUUGCUCCUCUGACGUUAGCGGCGGACGGGUGAGUAACACGUGGAUAACCUACCUAUAAGACUGGGAUAACUUCGGGAAACCGGAGCUAAUACCGGAUAAUAUAUUGAACCGCAUGGUUCAAUAGUGAAAGACGGUUUUGCUGUCACUUAUAGAUGGAUCCGCGCCGCAUUAGCUAGUUGGUAAGGUAACGGCUUACCAAGGCGACGAUGCGUAGCCGACCUGAGAGGGUGAUCGGCCACACUGGAACUGAGACACGGUCCAGACUCCUACGGGAGGCAGCAGUAGGGAAGCUUCCGCAAUGGGCGAAAGCCUGACGGAGCAACGCCGCGUGAGUGAUGAAGGUCGUCGGAUCGUAAAACUCUGUUAUUAGGGAAGAACAAAUGUGUAAGUAACUAUGCACGUCUUGACGGUACCUAAUCAGAAAGCCACGGCUAACUACGUG